RNAcentral lists this ribosomal RNA (375 nucleotides) under uncultured bacterium. RNAcentral describes it as "bacterial SSU rRNA". It matches the Rfam family "Bacterial small subunit ribosomal RNA", at positions 523 to 898 of the family's 1533-position model. The record is from RNAcentral.
AUACGUAGGUGGCGAGCGUUGUCCGGAGUUACUGGGCGUAAAGGGUGCGUAGGCGGAUAAUCAAGUCAGAUGUGAAAGUCCAUGGCAUAACUGUGGGAGUGCAUUUGAGACUGAAGAUCUAGAGUGCAGGAGAGGGGAGCGGAAUUCCUAGUGUAGCGGUGAAAUGCGUAGAUAUUAGGAAGAACACCAGUGGCGAAGGCGGCUUUCUGGACUGUAACUGACGCUGAAGCACGAAAGCGUGGGGAGCAAACAGGAUUAGAUACCCUGGUAGUCCACGCCGUAAACGAUGAGUAUUAGGUGUAGGGGACGAUAGUCUUCUGUGCCGGAGCAAACGCAAUAAAUACUCCGCCUGGGGAGUACGGUCACAAGACUAAA